AUGAACGCUGGCGGCAUGCCUAACACAUGCAAGUCGAACGAGACCUUCGGGUCUAGUGGCGCACGGGUGCGUAACGCGUGGGAAUCUGCCCCUUGGUUCGGAAUAACUCAGAGAAAUUUGAGCUAAUACCGGAUAAUGACGUAAGUCCAAAGAUUUAUCGCCUAGGGAUGAGCCCGCGUAGGAUUAGCUAGUUGGUGGGGUAAAAGCCUACCAAGGCGACGAUCCUUAGCUGGUCUGAGAGGAUGAUCAGCCACACUGGGACUGAGACACGGCCCAGACUCCUACGGGAGGCAGCAGUGGGGAAUAUUGGACAAUGGGCGAAAGCCUGAUCCAGCAAUGCCGCGUGAGUGAUGAAGGCCUUAGGGUUGUAAAGCUCUUUUACCCGGGAAGAUAAUGACUGUACCGGGAGAAUAAGCCCCGGCUAACUCCGUGCCAGCCGCCGCGGUAAUU
Molecule: ribosomal RNA, 450 nt
Filed under: uncultured bacterium
Lineage: Bacteria
Description: bacterial SSU rRNA
Rfam family: Bacterial small subunit ribosomal RNA
Source: RNAcentral